This 663-nucleotide ribosomal RNA is filed under the name Triticum aestivum (bread wheat). RNAcentral's name for it is "partial small subunit ribosomal RNA". The record is from RNAcentral. Lineage: Eukaryota; Viridiplantae; Streptophyta; Magnoliopsida; Poales; Poaceae.
AUGGCGCCGCAGCACUUCCUGGUCGUCGCGUUCCCGGGCCAGGGCCACAUCAACCCGGCGCGCGCUCUGGCGGAGCGCCUCGCGCGGGCCGCACCGGGCGCGCGGGUCACGCUCUCGGCCGCCGUGUCCGCGCACCGUCGCAUGUUCCCCUCGAUCGCGUCCCCCGACGACGAGGUCCACGACGGUGUUAUCUCCUACAUCCCCUACUCGGAGGGCUACGACCACGGCUUCAGCCUCUUGGCUGGCGACGGGGACGAAGUGCAGAGAUACGCGGAGGUGUUCGGCCGCGUAGGUCGCGUGACCUUCUCGGCGGUGCUGGACCGCCUCGCGGCGCGGGGCCGGCCCGUCACGUGCGUCCUGUACGCCAUGCUCAUGUGGUGGGCCGCCGAGGUCGCCCGUGAGCGCGGCGUGCCCCGGGCGCUCUACUGGAUCCGGCCGGCCACGAUGCUGGCCGUGUACUAUCACUACUUCCAUGGGUACGAGAGGCUCGUGACGGAGCACGCUGCCGAGCCGGGGUUCACGGUGUCUAUGCCGGGCCUCCCUCCGAUGGUGAUCCGUGACCUCCCGAGCUUCUUCACCAACCUUACGGACGGCAGGAUAGUCGCGACAUUCGGGGACAUCCGCAGUCUUAUCUCCUCCUCUCUUGUAACAACCGAAUCGUGA